Molecule: long non-coding RNA, 837 nt
Organism: Sapajus apella (tufted capuchin)
Lineage: Eukaryota; Metazoa; Chordata; Mammalia; Primates; Cebidae
Exons: 2
Source: RefSeq, a predicted model, not a curated record
GGAUGAUUUAAGUGUCAUUAGAAAGACAUUUAGAGAAAAAGCAUUUUAACAUUAAAAUCAGAAGAGUGUAAUGACAUGAAUCCUUGAUGCUUAAAGAGUUGUCAGCUCUUAUUUUUUCCAAAGAUAGAUAGACCAUAUUUACAAGAAAUACCUCUAGUAUCUGUGAACUUAGGAAUAAGGAAUAGCUUUGAUUAUGACAACCACAGUGUUCUAAUGAAAAACUUAGAUUUUACUAUUGGAUUCAAAACCAAGUGAAAGAUUCAUUAAAGCUGAGGAACACAUCAGAGUCUCUUAACAGCAGCAGAAUUGAUCAAGCAGAAGAAAGAAUUUGUGAGCUUGAAGAGAUGCUAUUUAAAAAUACAAAGUCAGAGAACACCAAAGAAAAAGAAAAAAGAAUGAUGCCACACCUACAAGAUCCAGAAAAUAGCCUCAGUGGAGGCAAAUCUAAGAGUUAUUGGCCUUAAAGAGGAGGUCGAGAAGAUAGGGGUAGAAAGUUUACUCAAAGUGAUAAUAACAGAAAAUUUCCCAAAACUAGAGAAAGAUAUCAAUAUUGACAUACAAGAUUAUAGAACAGCUAGCAGAUUUAAUCCAAAGAAGAAUGCAUAAGGCAUGUAAUAUCAGACUCCCAGAGGUCAAGGAUAAAGAAAAGAUCUUGAAAGCAACAAGAGAAAAGAAACAAAUAACGUACAAUGGAGCUUCAGUAUGUCUGACAGAUGAUUAUUCCAUGGAAACUUUACAGGCCAGUAGCGAGUGGCCUGAUAUGCUUAAAGUGCUGAAGGAAAGAAGCUUUUAUCCUAGAACAGUAUAUCUAGGAAAAAUAUUCUCCAAACAGGAGGG